Molecule: ribosomal RNA, 440 nt
Filed under: uncultured bacterium
Lineage: Bacteria
Description: partial 16S ribosomal RNA
Rfam family: Bacterial small subunit ribosomal RNA
Source: RNAcentral
CCUACGGGAGGCAGCAGUGAGGAAUAUUGGGCAAUGGGGGCAACCCUGACCCAGCCAUGCCGCGUGAGUGAAGAAGGUCUUCGGAUUGUAAAGCUCUUUCGGACGUGACGAUGAUGACGGUAGCGUCUAAAGAAGCACCGGCAAACUUCGUGCCAGCAGCCGCGGUAAUACGAAGGGUGCGAGCGUUGUUCGGAAUUACUGGGCGUAAAGGGAGUGUAGGCGGAUAUGUAAGAUAGCGGUGAAAUGCCGGGGCUCAACCCCGGAACUGCCAUUAUGACUAUGUAUCUAGAGUAAGGGAGAGGAUGGCGGAAUACCCAGUGUAGAGGUGAAAUUCGUAGAUAUUGAGUAGAACACCGGUGGCGAAGGCGGCUAGCUGGACAUUUACUGACGCUGAGGCUCGAAAGCAUGGGGAGCGAAAGGGAUUAGAUACCCUUGUAGUC